This 227-nucleotide long non-coding RNA is filed under the name Panax ginseng (ginseng). RNAcentral describes it as "long non-coding RNA (PGIN_LNC013056)". The record is from RNAcentral. Lineage: Eukaryota; Viridiplantae; Streptophyta; Magnoliopsida; Apiales; Araliaceae.
GCAAAUUCUCUCUUUUUCUCUUUGACAAGAUUGACAAUCUGAAUCAGUCUCUCUCCCUACAACUUGAGAUGAGCCAACAAGAACUCAAGAUUGAGGUUGGUAACUCAUCUUACCUGAUGGAGCAACUUAUGUCAAAUGUAGAGCAGCUUUCCCAAGUAAUUAAUGACAAAAAGGGGGAGAAAAAGAGACAAAAAGAGGCACUCAAGGGGGAGUAAGGAGAACAGGAG